Apis florea (little honeybee) is the source of this 1453-nucleotide long non-coding RNA. Lineage: Eukaryota; Metazoa; Arthropoda; Insecta; Hymenoptera; Apidae. The record is from RefSeq and is a predicted model, not a curated record.
UUUUUCCAUACACUCGACUUCCCGGAGUGAAAACAACGCUCGUGAAAUUCGUCGAACGAGGAAAAGCAAACAUUCUGACCAUUCUGUGACUUGGAAUGUGACGUUUCGUUACACGGAACAUUGAACACAACGAACGUUAAUUUUAUCGGUCCUCGGUUGAACCAACUGACGAUUCAGCAGCUGUUACCUCAUCGGUAGCGUGCAACCCCGACGCUUUUAGGGGAGACAUAUUGGCGGACGUUACUGCUCGAGAAGAAGAGUGUUCUGCGAUCGUUUCCAAGGGAACGAGGAGGAUAUUAACGCGUUGAAGGAGACCGUUAUAAACUACUCCAUCCUAUCCUCCCCUCAUUUUCAUUUCGAUCUCUCGGGGAAUGGAAAUGGCGAGCAAAAGGUGAGCAAUCACCAAUUCAGAUGGCCAACCGAGUUAUAUUAAUAAAAGAACUGAAAAUGAAUGAUAAUUGUAUAAGAAAAAUAUGAUUAUGGCUUUAUUUGAUUUGGUAGUACCAGUACCAAUUUACGAAUCUAUCUAUUAAAUCGUAAGUUUCAAAUAUCGAAUUCGAAUUUUUGAAACAGAAAAUUUCUCAAGUUUCUGCACAGCUGCACACUCUUUUCUCGAAUUUUUCAAACUAAUGCCGCGUCAUAUGGGUGCAAUAAAGGCAUAACUCUCGGCGGUCCAUUCAUCCGAAAUCCUUUCGUCGAACGAAUUCCACGUCUUGAUACUCUCUACCUACUUCUCUGCGUCUAUAUCUGAAAAAAAGAAAACUUUUAGCCACGGUUUCGUUUUAUUACCUUUUUUAACCUUUUUUUUUUUUUUUCCAGCCUUCGUUUUCGCCUACGAUUCUCUCCGCUACCAGUUCCCUUCGAUUCCGUGGUUCAGUUCAGACGCAUGUUGCGCAACAUUUUAUCCACGCUUGUCCUCGUGUUUCUGUAACAGACGAAACGGUGCGUGAUUGAAGUGUCGAUUAUCGAGUGAAAAAAGAUUAUUUUCUAAUAAUAUGAAUAGUAUGUGUUUGAUUAACGAAACGUGAAUAAACUAUCGUCUCUUCGUUCCUUCGUUUUUCAAUUUUUUCUUUCGAAAUUAUACGAAAUCGAAUAUCAUAGAAAUGUUUGAAGGAAAAUUUGUGGAACAAAAAUUAUUUAAAAAUUUUUUCCUUCCCGAAGAGGGAGGAAUUUCGCCAUUUCGGGGUGGAAUUAUCGAAUUUUCACGUGUCUCACGCUGCUGGACCAACAUGGCUGCUCGCGUAUCCAUGGUUACACCCUCUGCCAUUCGAUAUAACCCUUGAUGAAACGCUCGCACUGGGAAUACAAGGGGCGGUACGAAAAGAGGGUGAAACUAUAGCGGAGGGUGUGCUCGAGAUGACGAAGGAAAGCCUUUCAUCUUUCAGCGUCGGCCAUGAAAAAAAAAAAAAAGAAACUUAUGUUUGUCGAUUUAUCGAGAGACGAGGCGAGCUGU